UACGAAGGGGGCUAGCGUUGCUCGGAAUCACUGGGCGUAAAGGGCGCGUAGGCGGGUCUUUAAGUCAGGGGUGAAAUCCUGGAGCUCAACUCCAGAACUGCCUUUGAUACUGGCGAUCUUGAGUUCGGGAGAGGUGAGUGGAACUGCGAGUGUAGAGGUGAAAUUCGUAGAUAUUCGCAAGAACACCAGUGGCGAAGGCGGCUCACUGGCCCGAUACUGACGCUGAGGCACGAAAGCGUGGGGAGCAAACAGG
RNAcentral lists this ribosomal RNA (253 nucleotides) under uncultured bacterium. RNAcentral's name for it is "partial 16S ribosomal RNA". It matches the Rfam family "Bacterial small subunit ribosomal RNA", at positions 524 to 776 of the family's 1533-position model. The record is from RNAcentral.